RNAcentral lists this ribosomal RNA (508 nucleotides) under uncultured bacterium. Its description in RNAcentral is "partial 16S ribosomal RNA". It matches the Rfam family "Bacterial small subunit ribosomal RNA", at positions 28 to 507 of the family's 1533-position model. The record is from RNAcentral.
GACGAACGCUGGCGGCGUGCCUAAUACAUGCAAGUCGAACGCUUCUUUCCUCCCGAGUGCUUGCACUCAAUUGGAAAGAGGAGUGGCGGACGGGUGAGUAACACGUGGGUAACCUACCCAUCAGAGGGGGAUAACACUUGGAAACAGGUGCUAAUACCGCAUAACAGUUUAUGCCGCAUGGCAUAAGAGUGAAAGGCGCUUUCGGGUGUCGCCGAUGGAUGGACCCGCGGUGCAUUAGCUAGUUGGUGAGGUAACGGCUCACCAAGGCCACGAUGCAUAGCCGACCUGAGAGGGUGAUCGGCCACACUGGGACUGAGACACGGCCCAGACUCCUACGGGAGGCAGCAGUAGGGAAUCUUCGGCAAAGGACGAAAGUCUGACCGAGCAACGCCGCGUGAGUGAAGAAGGUUUUCGGAUCGUAAAACUCUGUUGUUAGAGAAGAACAAGGACGUUAGUAACUGAACGUCCCCUGACGGUAACUAACCAGAAAGCCACGGCUAACUACGUG